This 535-nucleotide long non-coding RNA is filed under the name Malus domestica (apple). Its description in RNAcentral is "long non-coding RNA (MDOM_LNC008117)". Lineage: Eukaryota; Viridiplantae; Streptophyta; Magnoliopsida; Rosales; Rosaceae. The record is from RNAcentral.
CAUUCCUAAUACUCUAACACCAAAGUGGUUGAGAAUUUUUCAAUAGAUACUAAAUAAUCCAAAAAAAUAAAAAUAAAAUAUGAAUGCUGUUAAACUAAGAUUGUUUCAUACAAUUUCUACAGAAACAAGAAAAGUGUCCAUGCAAAUUCUUAUUUAUUAAAGCUGGAUUAGCUUGAAAAUUAAAUAUAAGUCUAACAACUAAAAUGAAAUUAUUUAUGCACCUGCCAUGGUCCCAUUUAAAAAACCAAAUAAAUAAGUAUUUUUCAACAUUGAGCUUCAAGCCUACUACUCUAUAAAAAUUAAUAACUGGUUGGCAAAAGGUACUUAUGUAUUAUAUAUCCCCACAAUGGAAAUAUGCAGAAAAUUAAACAAAAUAAAUAAAACAGAAAAUCCAUAAGCAAGAAAGGUCAUCUAUCAAGCUAAUUGUAAGGCACGCCAAUUGCCAAACAAGGUGCAACUGGUUUUGCACCCAAAUAUCUCUUUCUUAGCUGGUAUCAAACAGUGGGCCAUGCAAGUAGGGUUCUCUCUCUAGUUU